Molecule: signal recognition particle RNA, 99 nt
Filed under: Desulfobulbus propionicus
Lineage: Bacteria; Pseudomonadati; Thermodesulfobacteriota; Desulfobulbia; Desulfobulbales; Desulfobulbaceae
Description: signal recognition particle sRNA small type
Rfam family: Bacterial small signal recognition particle RNA
About the family: The signal recognition particle (SRP) is a universally conserved ribonucleoprotein involved in the co-translational targeting of proteins to membranes. Archaeal SRP consists of a 7S RNA and homologues of the eukaryotic SRP19 and SRP54 proteins. In most bacteria, the SRP consists of a 4.5S RNA and the Ffh protein (a homologue of the eukaryotic SRP54 protein).
Source: RNAcentral
AGCCGGGUCCUGUGCAACAUAGAAUCACGAACCCCGUCAGGUCCGGGAGGAAGCAGCGGCAGUGAAGCUCUAUGUGUGCCACAGGGGUGCCUGGCUAUC